GAUGAACGCUGACAGAAUGCUUAACACAUGCAAGUCUUUGGCGAAGCUGUGCUUGCACAGCCUAGCCAAGGCGGACGGGUGAGUAACGCGUAAGGAACUUGCCCUGCAGUCAGGGAUAACAGACGGAAACGACUGAUAAGACCUGGUAAAGUCAGGCGGACUCAUGUCCAGCCUGAUGAAAAGUGAUGCUGCAGGAGAGCCUUGCGUCCUAUUAGCUUGUUGGUGGGGUAACGGCCCACCAAGGCGAUGAUAGGUAGCCGGCCUGAGAGGGUGGACGGCCACAAGGGGACUGAGAUACCGCCCUUACUCCUACGGGAGGCAGCAGUGGGGAAUAUUGGACAAUGGGGGCAACCCUGAUCCAGCAAUUCUGUGUGCACGAUGAAGGUUUUCGGAUUGUAAAGUGCUUUCAGCAGGGAAGAAAAAAAUGACGGUACCUGCAGAAGAAGCGACGGCUAAAUACGUG
This 463-nucleotide ribosomal RNA is filed under the name uncultured bacterium. Its description in RNAcentral is "partial 16S ribosomal RNA". It matches the Rfam family "Bacterial small subunit ribosomal RNA", at positions 28 to 507 of the family's 1533-position model. The record is from RNAcentral.